RNAcentral lists this ribosomal RNA (379 nucleotides) under uncultured bacterium. Its description in RNAcentral is "bacterial SSU rRNA". It matches the Rfam family "Bacterial small subunit ribosomal RNA", at positions 521 to 896 of the family's 1533-position model. The record is from RNAcentral.
UAAGACGAACCGUGCGAACGUUACUCGGAAUCACUGGGCUUAAAGAGCACGUAGGCGGCAAUCUAAGUCAGAGGUGAAAUACCAUCGGCUCAACCGUGGAACUGCCUCUGAUACUGGGUUGCUUGAGGGGGAACGGGGCAAUCGGAACUUCCGGUGGAGCGGUGAAAUGUGUUGAUAUCGGAAGGAACGCCGGUGGCGAAAGCGGAUUGCUGGGUCUCUUCUGACGCUGAGGUGCGAAAGCUAGGGUAGCGAACGGGAUUAGAUACCCCGGUAGUCCUAGCCAUAAACGAUGGGUACUUGGUAGAAAUCGCUCCGAUGGCGACUUCUGCCGAAGCGAAAGUGAUAAGUACCCCGCCUGGGGAGUAUGGUCGCAAGGCUG